ACUCCUACGGGAGGCAGCAGUAGGGAAUCUUCCACAAUGGGCGCAAGCCUGAUGGAGCAACACCGCGUGAGUGAAGAAGGGUUUCGGCUCGUAAAGCUCUGUUGUUAAAGAAGAACACGUAUGAGAGUAACUGUUCAUACGUUGACGGUAUUUAACCAGAAAGUCACGGCUAACUACGUGCCAGCAGCCGCGGUAAUACGUAGGUGGCAAGCGUUAUCCGGAUUUAUUGGGCGUAAAGAGAGUGCAGGCGGUUUUCUAAGUCUGAUGUGAAAGCCUUCGGCUUAACCGGAGAAGUGCAUCGGAAACUGGAUAACUUGAGUGCAGAAGAGGGUAGUGGAACUCCAUGUGUAGCGGUGGAAUGCGUAGAUAUAUGGAAGAACACCAGUGGCGAAGGCGGCUACCUGGUCUGCAACUGACGCUGAGACUCGAAAGCAUGGGUAGCGCACAGGAUUAGAUACCCUGGUAGGAUAGCG
RNAcentral lists this ribosomal RNA (473 nucleotides) under uncultured bacterium. RNAcentral's name for it is "bacterial SSU rRNA". It matches the Rfam family "Bacterial small subunit ribosomal RNA", at positions 335 to 801 of the family's 1533-position model. The record is from RNAcentral.